This 160-nucleotide small RNA is filed under the name Theobroma cacao (cacao). RNAcentral's name for it is "sRNA Tc04v2_g007220". Lineage: Eukaryota; Viridiplantae; Streptophyta; Magnoliopsida; Malvales; Malvaceae. The record is from RNAcentral.
GAAAAAGUGUUGGAUUUCAAGGGAUUAAGCUAAUAAAGAUGGUGAAUCCUCCGAUAAAGGCAAGAAAAUUGUACCCGAGGAUCGGUAGUCAGAGUACUCUAGAAAUUCGACUCCCGAAAUAGUUUAGAUUAGGCUGUAGAUAGCUGAGUUCAUCGAGGAC